GGUCUUCGCAAAAAAAGGCCUAAUUUUUGGGAUUUAGUAAUUGCGGCCUGUUGUUAGUAUGCGAGUGUACAUACAAACGAUUAGCACUAUAUUUACUUUGAUUUAUUUGUUGUGAUUAAGAGCAGAAGCUCUACUCAUCUAGGACGAGGUCUAUGACAAGGAAAGUUAAUGUAAAAAAUCAAAAUUGUGUGUGUUUGUGUGGUUAAUACUCACUUCAUUUUGAUAUAUUUGUCUUCUAAUAACCCACCGUGCACAGGACAGACCAUGCAAGCAUCAACUUAUCGAGAAAUGACUUAUUAACCUAUUAAAAGACCAUACCGGAACCACCUAUGGCAUAACCUUUUCAAAACAUUUAAGUAGGGGUGGGCAAUAGAAGCGUUGUAGUAACUGCUCGCUUGUUGAACGGACAAACAUUUUGACGAUGACUCUUGCUUUCAUGGAUAUACAGAGAUAAAUGGAUGGAUGUUGCAAAUACAGUAGAAAUCAUGGGUGCAACAAUUUUUAUGUCCAUGUUUUUCUUUUUGUCUGAUUGUGUAUGUAUACUGGUUACAGGGCACUAUUUGCGUAGAAUUUACUUGACCUGUAGGAACUGGCUCUACUAUCUAGCUUUUAAAUGUAAUAAAUCUAGAAGGCAAUGGAGCAUUACUGUCUUUCCCUCUUUCUACAUAAGCAAGAAAGCUGUGACUUGGAUUCUGGACAUGAAUCUUCUUAACCUGUUGAAGCAUAAAACUAUAGAUGCAGAGUCCAAUUAGUUGUCCUUUGUGCAUACACAAGAAAGUGGAAUUUGGAGUCUGAACAUGAAUCCUUGAGACUGAUGGCCAGAAACAGAACACAACAUGAUGACCUUGAGUGAGACCCUUCUUCACAUGUGACUGCUCUCUUUUGGAAUACCAGCCAUGCGUGACAUGUUUAGUAGAACAGAUUGUGUCGUACGUCUGGUAGUUGUUGUUGCCUAUACAGAGUGUGAUGAUCUGAGGGUGUGAACUAUUUUUUGUGCAAAAUACUUGUUAUAUAAACUAUAUGGAUGGAGUUACGGGACAUUAAGAAAAGAUAUGAGAAAGAAUAUAGAGUGUGAAAUUUGCUAUAUAAAUUACUUGUUAUAUAAAAGUUGAAUCUCACGAUCCAACUUUUUAGAACUAUGCCACAACUUUUAUGAGGCCAUAAGUUUUUCUUUUGAAAUCUGCAGGUUAUAUGAUUUGUACAUGGCGGUGUUACUGAACAGAAGGAGGUAAUUUCUUCGCUCUUUCUAUUGAUUAAUAUUGUUCUUCACUCUUUCUAAACUAUUGAAUUUAUUAAUAUUAUUCUUGCACAAAUUAAUUAAUGAUUAUAUCAUCUUUUGGUCACUCGAGUAAGAUAGAACAUGAUGAUCCUCUCUUAAUUUGGUUUCUCCUCCGCUGAAGAAUAUAGGAAUCACCAGCAGCCCUUCUCUAGUUCCGAGGAAGUGCUCAACCUAGACGUUGUUGGCCGAAGGAGGGGCGGAGCAGGUGCCAGUCAAGUAGGCGGCUCAAUGGGUGGGAGAUGGCAGCUGCCGAUCUCACACGGCUCAUGCGCCCCGCGACCCUCCCCUCCCCAGCUAAGUAGGAGGUUCGAGGGCAGCGACUAAGGAAGGAGCACAUCGGCGAUGAGGGCUAGCAAUAGCAAGACAAUUGCCAGGUGCAGUCGAUAUGCCGCCACGUCGGCCCUUCACGCGCGCCCGCCAGGGUCGGGACCUUUUUCAGAGCAAUGCGUAGUGUUUCCUUUAUUGUUGUUGUUUGUGAUGUCCUUGAUAUUCCUUUGCCAUAUGAUUUUUGAUCAUUUUCUCGCUCAUUCCUAGAGGAGCGCUAUGGAUAAUAUGAUUGAGAUGACUAAGAUACAUGCUUUUUGUUUACUUGGCAUCUGCUUCUCUUAAUUUUUCUACAACCCUUCCUUUACAUGCUGGUAUGUUUUGUUGCCAGGCUCAGAUCGGCGAGACCCGUGCCAAUGCACGAGAGUCCAUGGUAUCAUACGAUUUGAAGUUGAAAAAAUCAUGCUAUGGGUGAUACGGAAAAGUCAUUGCCUUCUUUGCUGGAACAUUUCCUAAGAUGAUCUAAGGUGAAGCAUUUAUGAAUAUCCUCGCUGAUCUAUGGAUCUAUCAUUGUAAGAGUCGAUAAUAUAUGGUGAGCUGCCUCACACCAUCAUUUGGUCUUUGUGGCAUUUGAGUUGGCAAAUUUGUUGGAUUCAUGCGAUUAGGCAUGCCAUGUAAAUCAAUCUGCAAUGGGAAAUGGGAGUUUGCAAACUA
Triticum dicoccoides is the source of this 2257-nucleotide long non-coding RNA. RefSeq lists it as uncharacterized. NCBI's taxonomy places the organism in Eukaryota, Viridiplantae, Streptophyta, Magnoliopsida, Poales, Poaceae. The transcript is spliced from 5 exons. The record is from RefSeq and is a predicted model, not a curated record.